RNAcentral lists this ribosomal RNA (524 nucleotides) under uncultured bacterium. Its description in RNAcentral is "bacterial SSU rRNA". It matches the Rfam family "Bacterial small subunit ribosomal RNA", at positions 984 to 1509 of the family's 1533-position model. The record is from RNAcentral.
ACAUCCAGCGAACUUGGCAGAGAUGCCUGGUGCCUUCGGGAACGCUGAGACAGGUGCUGCAUGGCUGUCGUCAGCUCGUGUUGUGAAAUGUUGGGUUAAGUCCCGCAACGAGCGCAACCCUUAUCCUUUGUUGCCAGCGAUUCGGUCGGGAACUCAAAGGAGACUGCCGGUGAUAAACCGGAGGAAGGUGGGGAUGACGUCAAGUCAUCAUGGCCCUUACGAGUAGGGCUACACACGUGCUACAAUGGCGCAUACAAAGAGAAGCGACCUCGCGAGAGCAAGCGGACCUCAUAAAGUGCGUCGUAGUCCGGAUCGGAGUCUGCAACUCGACUCCGUGAAGUCGGAAUCGCUAGUAAUCGUGGAUCAGAAUGCCACGGUGAAUACGUUCCCGGGCCUUGUACACACCGCCCGUCACACCAUGGGAGUGGGUUGCAAAAGAAGUAGGUAGCUUAACCUUCGGGAGGGCGCUUACCACUUUGUGAUUCAUGACUGGGGUGAAGUCGUAACAAGGUAGGCGUAGCGAG